This 331-nucleotide ribosomal RNA is filed under the name uncultured bacterium. RNAcentral describes it as "partial 16S ribosomal RNA". It matches the Rfam family "Bacterial small subunit ribosomal RNA", at positions 338 to 666 of the family's 1533-position model. The record is from RNAcentral.
CCUACGGGUGGCAGCAGUGAGGAAUAUUGGUCAAUGGGCGGAAGCCUGAACCAGCCAAGUAGCGUGCAGGAUGACGGCCCUACGGUUUGUAAACUGCUUUUAUACGGGAAUAACGCGCCUUACGUGUAGGGCUUUGCAUGUACCGUAUGAAUAAGGACCGGCUAAUUCCGUGCCAUCAGCCGCGGUAAUACGGCGGGUCCGGGCGUUAUCCGGAUUUAUUGGGGUUAAAGGGAGCGUAGGCGGCAUGUCAAGCGUGCUGUGAAAUGUCCGGGCUCAACCCGGGCCUUGCAGCGGGAACUGGCGUGCUGGAGUCCGCGGAAAGCAGGCGGAA